This 253-nucleotide ribosomal RNA is filed under the name uncultured bacterium. RNAcentral's name for it is "partial 16S ribosomal RNA". It matches the Rfam family "Bacterial small subunit ribosomal RNA", at positions 524 to 776 of the family's 1533-position model. The record is from RNAcentral.
GACAGAGGUGCCAAGCGUUAGGCGGAAUCACUGGGCUUAAAGCGUGUGUAGGUGGAUGCCUAAGUACCUUGUGAAAUCCCACGGCUUAACCGUGGAACUGCUCGGUAUACUGGGUGUCUUGAGCCACUUAGGGGCUACCGGAACAAAUGGUGGAGCGGUGAAAUGCGUAGAUAUCGGGAGGAACACCUAUGGCGAAGGCAGCUCGCUGGGACGUUACUGACGCUGAGACGCGAAAGCGUGGGGAGCAAACAGG